Meriones unguiculatus (Mongolian gerbil) is the source of this 108-nucleotide small nuclear RNA. NCBI's taxonomy places the organism in Eukaryota, Metazoa, Chordata, Mammalia, Rodentia, Muridae. The record is from Ensembl.
GUGCUCGCCUCGGGCAGCACAUGGACUAAAGUUGGAAGGAUACAGAGAAGAUUAGCAUCGCCCCUCCGCAAGGAUGGCACGCAAAUUCAUGAAGCAUUCUGUAUCUUU